Molecule: ribosomal RNA, 1160 nt
Filed under: Microplana hyalina
Lineage: Eukaryota; Metazoa; Platyhelminthes; Tricladida; Geoplanidae
Description: eukaryotic LSU rRNA
Rfam family: Eukaryotic large subunit ribosomal RNA
Source: RNAcentral
ACGCCCNGGAAUUAGCGCAGCNCUGAAUCCCUGUUUCUNUGAUACUAGGAGUUGUAGNGUAAAGGUUGGAUCUUUAAUGGUAGAAUNCAUUCCAAAUUCACUUGAAUGUGAUGUUGUCCAGAGAGGGUGUCAGACCCGUUGGAAUGUGUGAAACUGUUAAUGAUGCUUCCUAUGAGUCGGAUUGUUUGAGAAUGCAGUCCAAAUUGGGUGGUAAACUUCAUCUAACGCUAAAUACUUGUGCUAGUCCGAUAGAAAACAAGUACCGUGAGGGAAAGUUGAAAAGAACUCUGAAGAGAGAGUUAAAUAGUACGUGAAAUCGCUUAGAGGUAAACGAGUGGAGCCGAAAAUGUUGUGUAGGAUUCAGUUGUUUGUGUUUUGUACGGUAUUGGUGAUAUCUUUAAUGCUGGGAAUUACCAAUACCUUUUAACUUUGAAAUACAAAUGAUGCACUUUCUAUGCAACAAAGCUGCAAUCGAUAGCGUUGUUUUUCUGUCGUAAUGAAGAAGGUGAACAAUUUUUCGGAAUUGUUUUUAUAGCUUUUUUACACGGUUAAUCAAUUUAUCGGUGAAUGCGAAUAUUCAUUGUUGGUGAUUGCUAAUAUGAAUUGUUUGAUUGUAAACUUUUUAUGAGAUUACUUUCAAAUCGUUCAUGUUGGCGUUAUUAAUGGAGUAUUCAAAAUNUGCAGUGUAUAUGUAGGUUACCUACUCGUCCCGUCUUGAAACACGGACCAAGGAGUUUUAUAUGAUCGCGAGUCAAAGGGCUUUACGAAACCCCAGGGCGCAAUAAACGUAAAGGCUUGCAUUGGUAAGCUGAAAUAUGACCUCACUCUCGAACCGAAAGCGAGAGCAAUAUUAACCCGUCUGAAGAAUUUCGAUUCUGGGCGGAGUUUGAGCGAUCAUGUAGAGACCCGAAAGAUGGUGAACUAUGCUUGUGCAGGUUGAAGUCAGGGGAAACUCUGAUGGAGGACCGAAGCGGUUCUGACGUGCAAAUCGAUCGUCGGACAUGAGUAUAGGGGCGAAAGACUAAUCGAACCAUCUAGUAACUGGUUCCCUCCGAAGUUUCCCUCAGGAAAGCUGGGGUUUGAGUUGUAGUUUUACCUGGUAAAGCCAAUGAUUAAAAAUACUGGGGACGAAUUGUUUCCNACUUAUUCNCAANCUUUAA